GAACGGACCCUUCGGGGUUAGUGGCGGACGGGUGAGUAACACGUGGGAACGUGCCUUUAGGUUCGGAAUAGCUCCUGGAAACGGGUGGUAAUGCCGAAUGUGCCCUUCGGGGGAAAGAUUUAUCGCCUUUAGAGCGGCCCGCGUCUGAUUAGCUAGUUGGUGAGGUAAUGGCUCACCAAGGCGACGAUCAGUAGCUGGUCUGAGAGGAUGACCAGCCACAUUGGGACUGAGACACGGCCCAAACUCCUACGGGAGGCAGCAGUAGGGAAUCUUGCGCAAUGGGCGAAAGCCUGACGCAGCCAUGCCGCGUGAAUGAUGAAGGUCUUAGGAUUGUAAAAUUCUUUCACCGGGGACGAUAAUGACGGUACCCGGAGAAGAAGCCCCGGCUAACUUCGUGCCAGCAGCCGCGGUAAUACGAAGGGGGCUAGCGUUGCUCGGAAUUACUGGGCGUAAAGGGCGCGUAGGCGGAUCGUUAAGUCAGAGGUGAAAUCCCGGAGCUCAACUUCGGAACUGCCUUUGAUACUGGCGAUCUUGAGUGUGAGAGAGGUAUGUGGAACUCCGAGUGUAGAGGUGAAAUUCGUAGAUAUUCGGAAGAACACCAGUGGCGAAGGCGACAUACUGGCUCAUUACUGACGCUGAGGCGCGAAAGCGUGGGGAGCAAACAGGAUUAGAUACCCUGGUAGUCCACGCCGUAAACGAUGAUUGCUAGUUGUCGGGCUGCAUGCAGUUCGGUGACGCAGCUAACGCA
RNAcentral lists this ribosomal RNA (748 nucleotides) under uncultured Brevundimonas sp. Its description in RNAcentral is "bacterial SSU rRNA". It matches the Rfam family "Bacterial small subunit ribosomal RNA", at positions 64 to 859 of the family's 1533-position model. The record is from RNAcentral. Lineage: Bacteria; Pseudomonadati; Pseudomonadota; Alphaproteobacteria; Caulobacterales; Caulobacteraceae.